Hypanus sabinus (Atlantic stingray) is the source of this 1637-nucleotide long non-coding RNA. RefSeq lists it as uncharacterized. The transcript has 3 exons. The record is from RefSeq and is a predicted model, not a curated record. NCBI's taxonomy places the organism in Eukaryota, Metazoa, Chordata, Chondrichthyes, Myliobatiformes, Dasyatidae.
AUUAGUUUUGAAGGCUUCUCAGACCGUUCUUGCUUCUUUUAUUAUCUUUUCAGAACGAAAAGAAGGAGUGUGAACUGAUGCUGCCUAGCCUUCUGAGUGCUUCCAACAACUGUUAUUUGAUUUUCACUUAAAACUUUCAUUGAGUAGAAAAAGAAAUAGAAAAAAAAAAUUCAGUUUGGUAUGUGGAUAAGACCAGAAAUAAAGUACUACAGACAUUCUUAGAAAACUAAAAACUGGGAGAAUGAAUUAAGAGCAAAGUAACAAUGAAGUAGAAAUUAAAGGCACUAAAGAGGACUUGUUAAAUUUUCAACAACAACACUUAACAGUACCAAGUUACAGUUUAAUGCUGAGACACACCCCAGGAUGUACUGGGACACAUCAUCAGCGAUCAGGUGUUUCAGGUCUUUCAACAUGAGACACUCUCACCCAGGGUUGAUCAGGCCUUGGCUUGUGUCCCUGCUCAGCCACACACUUCUUGACCCAUAGCCAUCUGGAGGCUAGCUUAAUAUCCUCUGUGACAGUCCUGAUGGCUCUUUUCUUUGCAGCCCCUGUAAUGCCAAGGAGAGAGUUGGUUCCACACAUAGAGGAGCCAGCAAAACCUCAAUACCCCACAUCUGUAGACUUGCAUUGUGCCCUUCACCCCUGUCUCUAGCACUGCUCUACCAGCUCAUGGUAUUUCUUAAACUCCUCAAUUGAAAUUUAAAUAAUAUGUUGAACUUGUUUUAAUCAAGUAAUUGUUAACUGAUUUCUUAAGUUAUCAAUAAAAUUUUAAAAGUGCAUUUAAGUACAGUCCUCUUCCCCUCCUUCCAUCCUCAUUGAAUUUGUAACUUACUGAGCUUAUCCACAACUAGAGGCAUCUGCCAGCUGCUGAUCUCUUAAUGUCCAUCCCAUUUAAGUUAUUACAUUAUCUAAGUCUCCUGGGGCCAUUGGGAAUGAUAUCCUCAUAGAAUUUAUUUGUACUGUCCAUUAUCCCACCAAGCUUGCCUACAAAUUGCAGGCUAAGCCUGAAGCAUGAUGGAAAUCUUUGUAAAGCAAAGUACAUAACAACAAUUCUUGAGCAGUUUUCUAGGGAGCUUUGCAAUGUUCCCACCAUUUCAUGGCUCUGGAGACGGGAGAAUCGGAGAUUGGUGUCCGAGCAGGAGAUUGGAGUGUCAUCGGAGAUGGAAGAUCUAAGGCUGUGUGCCCAGAGACCCGAGAUCUUUGGGCCAGAGCCCAGAAAAAGUGAUGCAACAGACUUUGAACAUCAUAAACCAAGAGCACCUGACUGAAGGCAUAAGGGAGUGCAACUCUCCUAAGAACAACACUACUAAGGUUCACGGAGUUUUACCGCCUCACCUUGUGAAUACCAUAUAGGGCAAUAUUACUUCAGUGUAAUAACGGACCUUGUGUGUGCACCCCUUUAUGUAUGAGCAUAUGCAUAUACAAUGUGAACAGUAAUUCAUACUAUUCUCCUACAAGAAGAAAUACCACAUGAAGUGGAAAUUUAUAACACAAAAGAAUGUCAGUGCAAAAAUUCUGUUCAGAAAUCCUGUAAGAAUUUGUUCUGAAACUAAUUAUAAGUCAGGCUAAUGGCUUUAAUCCAUAUCCUAUUUAUCUGUAAUGAUGUGAAAAUUCACACUCAAGAAUAAAAUGCCUGU